Capsicum annuum is the source of this 339-nucleotide long non-coding RNA. RefSeq lists it as uncharacterized. NCBI's taxonomy places the organism in Eukaryota, Viridiplantae, Streptophyta, Magnoliopsida, Solanales, Solanaceae. The record is from RefSeq and is a predicted model, not a curated record. The transcript has 2 exons.
AUUGAAUUAGUGCAUUGUUGCAAUGGUCGGCAUUGAAGACUUGAAUUUCACAAUAUUGAUCAACUUCGGCACCGGUUCUGAGGGUUUUUUUGUUGAUCCUAUAUAGCGUCAGGUGGUUUGGUACUCUAGUAGAUCAGCUGUGAAGUGGUGAUCCUCCAUCCAUCGGAAGGCCGGGUCAUUUCAUUUACUUUCGUUUAUCAUUCUAGUAUUUAUGAAUUUCUUUUGUUGUAGUCGAAGACAUAUCUCUACUUAGUUGGUAUUUUUGGAUUAGAGACUUUUGUGGACAGUAUUGGAAUGUUAUGAGUGUUCUGUUUUGACUUUUAGACUUUCUUUUUGACU